Loxodonta africana (African savanna elephant) is the source of this 9586-nucleotide RNA transcript. It is a transcript of the gene named zinc finger protein 775, with no coding region annotated. NCBI's taxonomy places the organism in Eukaryota, Metazoa, Chordata, Mammalia, Proboscidea, Elephantidae. The transcript is spliced from 2 exons. The record is from RefSeq and is a predicted model, not a curated record.
GGGAGGGUGGGAGAGGGGCAUUCACUAAUUAGAUAGUAGGUAGUUUUAAGAGCUACUUUAGGUGAAGGAAAAGACAGCACACCGUACAGGGGAGGUCAGCACAGUUGGACUAAACCAAAAGCAAAGAAGUUUCCUGAAUAAACUGAAUGCUUCGAAGGCCAGCGUAGCAGGGGCAGGGAUCUGGGGACCAUGGUUUCAGGGGACAUCUAAGUCAAUUGGCAUAAUAAAAUCAAUUAACAAAACGUUCUGCAUCCCACUUUUAAGGGUGGUGUCUGAGGUCUUAAACACUAGCAAGCGGCCAUCCAAGAUGCAUCAAUUGGUCUCAGCCCACCUGGAUCAAAGGAGAAUGAAGAACACCAAGGACACAAGGUGAUUACGAGACCAAGAGACAGAAAGGGCCACAUGAACCAGAGACUACAUUAGCCUGAGACCAGAAGAACUAGAUGGUGCCAGGCUACAACCGAUGACUGCCCUGACAGGGAACACAACCGAGAACCCCUGAGGGAGCAGGAGAGCAGUGGGAUGCAGACCCCAAAUUCUGAAAAGACCAGACUUAAUGGUCUGACUGAGACUGGAAGGACCCUGGAGGUCAUGGCUCCCAGACCUUCUGUUGUCCCAGGACAGAAACCAUUCCUGAAGCCAACUCUUCAGAUAUGGAUUGGACUGGACAAUGGGUUGGAGAGGGUUGCUGGUGAGGAGUGAGCUUCUUGGAUUAGGUGGACACUUGAGACUAUGUUGACAUCUCCUGCCUGGAGGGGAGAUGAGAGGGUGGAGGGGGUUAGAAGCUGGCGAAGAGGACACGAAAAGAGAGAGUGGAGGGAGAGAGUAGGCUGUCUCAUUAGGGGGAGAGUAAUUGGGAGUGUGUAGCAAGGUGUGUAUGGGUUUUUGUGUGAGAGACUGACUUGAUUUGUAAACUUUCACUUAAAGCAAAAUAAAAAUUAUUUUUUAAAAAAGGAUCAAAAACCACAGGCUUUCAUAUGGAUUACACCUCAACAUAAAACAAAAAUCACAACUCGACCAAUAAGGAACAAUCAUGAUAAACAGAAAAUAUUGUACUUGUCAAGGAUUUCAUUUCACUUGGAUCCAUAAUCAACACCCAUGAAAGCAGCAAUAGGGAAAUCAAAGGACAUAUUGCAUUGGGUGAAUCUGCUGCCAAAGACCUCUUCAAAGUGUUAUAAAGCAAAGCUGUGACUUUAAGGACUAAAGUUCACCUGAUGCGAGCUAUGAUGUUUUCUAUUGCCUCAUAUGCAUGUGAAAGCUGGACAGUGAAUAAGGAAGACAGAAGAAGAAUUGAUAUCUUUGAAUUAUGGCGUUGGUGAAGAAUAUUGAAUAUAGCAUAUAGAAUGGACUGCCAGAAGAACGAACAAAUCUGCCUUAGAAGAGCUACAGCCAGAAUGCUCAUUUGAAGUAAGAAUGGCGACACUUUGUCUCACAUUCUUUGGACAUGUUAUCAGGAGGGACCAGUCGCUGGAGAAGGAUAUCAUGCUUGCUAAAGUAGAGGGUCGGGGAAAGAGAGGAAGACCCUCGAUGAGAUGGAGUGACACAUUGGCUGCAGCAAUGGGCUCAAGCAUAACAACCAUCAUGAGGGUGGCCCAGAACUGGGCAGCGUUUCAUUCUGUUGUACAUAGGGUAGCUGUGAGUCAGAACUGACUGGACGGCACCUAACAACAACAACCACAACAAGACAGAGACAAAAAUCAUCCAUAGGGCAAAAGAGAAAUGAAGCUGUGUGCUCAAAGCAGCAGCAUGAUGUAGGAGAAACACUCUUGGGUCAUGAGGAAGCCUAGGCAUUCCUGAAAUCUCAAGCGAGCGAAGCCAGGCUACUCCCUAGGCUGGGCCCUUUUCCCCUUGGAGAAGCCAGGGUAGGUGACUGGAACACUGAACGCCCUCUGUAUACUCAGACAGGUGACGCAGACAUCACAAAGGGCUCCAGACCAUUAGUAAAGCAGAAAAACUAAACCCAGUGCCGUCCAGUCGAUUCCGACUCAUAGCGACCCUAGAGGACAGAGUAGAACCGCCCCAUAGGGGUUCUGAGGAGUGCCUGGUGGAUUCAAACUGCCGACCUUUUGGUUAGCAGCCGUAGCUCUUAACCACUAUGCUACCAGGGUUUCCAGACCAUUAGUAGACCAUUGAUAGACUGUCCUUUUUCCUGAUAAGAGCUCCGGGGAGCCCUCACAUGGAGCCAGGUGGCUCUGCGUGGGGUGAGACUUGGCUUGGACACUUAGUGGCAUGAGGCACAUGGGAGCUGGGCCAGAGCAUUUAAACCUCCACAGCAGGAGUGAUGCCUUGCUGGAGGUCCCCUGCACAGACACUGCCCUGCUGGCUGUAAGGAGUGACUCGUUCUGGAUAGUCAGAUUCUGUGGACAAUUCAGAGUUUACCUCUUUUAAGCACCUUUUUAUUUUAUCUGAACUAUUUUGAAUUUGAAAAAAAAAAAUCCUUUUUGUGAUGACUGAGGCCUUCUCCCAAAGGACAGGUGUGAGGCCUCUUUUCUUGAUACUAGCACCUAUAGAGUUGCUAUGAGUCGGAACCCACUCAAUGGCACCUAACAUCAGCAACAACAAUGGUUAAGGAGCUGUACCCGUGUGACAAACACAAGUUCAGGGGCACCCUUGACAAGGUCAGCACUCAGCAUCCCCAGGUUUCAGGGCCCUUGGGAGUGUGCAAGUUUGAAGCCUCACACACAAUUCUUUUAUCCUCUCCUGGUGCCCUAUAGCUGGUGGAGGUGAGAGGACUCUGACCUGGCCUUCUGGGGCAUUCAGGCCUGGGGACGGCAGCCUUCCCAGCCAUUGACACCUGUGGGGACUCAAGACCAAAGAAGCAUUGACGCCUUUGAAUCGUGGUGUUGGCGAAGAAUAUUGAAUAUACCACGGACUGCCAAAAGAAUGAACAAAUCUGUCUUGGAAGAAGUACAACCAGAAUGCUCCUUAGAAGCAAGGAUGGCAAGACUAUGUCUCACAUAGUUCGGACAUGUUGUCAGGAUGGACAAGUCCCUGGAGAAGGACAUCAUGCUUGGUAAAGUAGAAGGUCAGCAAAAAACAGGAAGACCCUAAACGAGAUGGAUUGAUACAGUGGCUGCAACAAUGGGCCCAAGCACAGCAACAAUUGUGAGGAUGGCACAGGACUGGGCAGUGUUUCGUUCUGCUGUGCGUAGGGUUGCUGUGAGUCGGAACUGACUUGAUGGCACCUAACAACAACAACAUAGUGUCUUUUUGUCAUACAGGUGUUUUAAAUUUACUUUUAAAGUCUGUAUCUUGUUUAAGAAGGUUUUAUUUUUUCUAGAAUCUAAACAUUCUUGUGAUUCUUCUAAUGUGUAUUGUCUUUUUCAAUUGGCACUUAAAUACAUCUGGAUUUAAUUUUUAUAAAUAGUAUUGCCUCAGUGAUCUAGUGCAGCUGUAACAAAAAAUACCACCCAUGGGUGCUUUAAAGAACAGGAAUUUAUUUUUUGACAGUUUAGGGAGCUAGAAGUUCGGAUUCUUGGCAUGACUGUAAGGGGAGGACCUUCCUUGUCAGUAGUCCUUCGAGUUCCUUGGCGUUCUUGGCCCCGUGUGUCUCGGUGUCUAUUCUGUUCUUUUUAUAACCAAGAAGUGAUUGGGUUUAGUUCUCACCUGGCUUAGGUACAACCUAAUUAACAUCACAAAGAAAACCCUAUUUCCAAACAGGAGUAUAUCCACAGGUAUACAGGCUACGACUUCAAUGCUCCAGAACUUCAAUUUUGGAGACACAGCUCAAUCCAUAACAGGUAUGAAGUAGGAAUAUAACUGUGAAAAUGGCACGGCGGGGCUUCUGACCUCUUGUAACUUCACAAGGGGGGAAGAAGAAUCAAGAUCAACAGCUCAAGGCUGAUUCCUAUGAGGCAGAGGUCAGACAUGCCUCCUCUCUGUGCCGUCUUUACCAGUUCUGACACCUCGCAUCCCUCCCACAGCAGUCUCUACUUCUUUGCUGGGUUUGAUAAUUCAUUGCAAGGGCCACACAGAACUCACAGACAAUACUGACGAUUAUGGGGUUUAUUAGGGAAGUAACAGUUUACAAUUCAGGAUCAGGAAUGACUCAGGCUGUAGUACUUUGAUGAGGACAGCUUCUUCUCAGCCAUGCCCACAGGCAGCCAUGCCCAGAGGCCCUUGGUCUCUUGGUCCCUCAGCCCCUGCUGUGUCCUAGCAAGUGUUACAAAUGCUUUUUCUCUACCAGUAAGUGCCUGGAGGCACCCUACCCUGCCAGGAAGUCUUGGCCCAAAGGCAUCUAGCUCUCUCACUUACUUCCUGGGUCCCAAGCCUAGCUCUACCAGGUACCUGGAGGCACUCCACUUCCCAGCAAGCCUCUUGCCUGAAUGCUCAGUUCUCUUCUCUGUGGGCUGGCACAAGCACUGCAGUUACCUUACUCGGUGGGCUGGGCCCCCCUUGCCAUCUGUGACAGCCUCCUAGUUCUGUUGCGCAGUUUCUCUGCUGCAGCAUCUCACUGUCUCUGGUGUUACCACUCUCCAUCUCCUGGGUCUAGGAGGCUCUCAGUGCGGGGACCCUGGGUCCAAAGGACGCACUCCACUCCCAGCUCUUUUUCUUGGUGGUAGUGAGGCCUUCCCCUUCUGCCUCUGGGAUGACUAAUUCUAAGCCUAGCAGGAUGGCAAAAUUGACCAAUCCCCUCGUUAGGGCUCAAUAUACCUUAUCUGUAUGGUCCACCUCCCCACAAGGGUGCCAUGCACCUUAUAUGCAUUAUUAGCAAGCUGUCCAAUCCCCUUUGGUGGGCCAUAAGCACCUUAUUUGCAUAGUCCCACCCAGUCAUUUGGUGGGAGUUACAAGACCAUGAUAAGAAAGGCUAUAUAAAAGCAAGCCAUCACACCUCAGCAACUCAAAUAUUUUUCCCCAAAAGAUAGUUGUUCCCCAUUGAUGAAUAGGCCAGCCUUUCCCCAGUGACUUGGGAUGCUACAUUUUACUAUGUAUCCAACUACCACAGGUCUGUUUUUUAGCCUCUAGCCUGUUCUAUUGGCCUAUUUUUCUAUUGUGUGUAUUCUACAGUAUUUUAAUUACUGUAUUUUAGCUUUUAACAUUGUAUAAGCCAGAUUCCUUUUUUUUUUUUUUUUUAGUUUUCUGGGCGAUUUAUCUGUAUUUACACAUUAUUUUAGAAUGAAGAGCUUCUUUGCCUUCUCAUCUAGGAAUAUGAGAUAGUUGUCCUUUUAUUCAUGUUUUCUUUAUCCCUUCAGUAAAGUCUAAUAGUUUUCUUUCUAUAAGUUUUGCAUUUCUAUUAGGUUUAUUCCUGGUUAUAUUACAGCUUUUAUUCCCAUUUUAAAAGAGCUAUUAAUUUUAGUAUGUUUUUGUAUCUGACAAUCUUGCUGGAUGCUUUUAGUUCAGUACUUUGUCGGUGGAUUCCCUUGCACAUUCUAGGCUCACAAUCAUUAACAAAUGAGAGUUUUCCCUUCCUUUUAAAUAUAUAUAUAUUUAUAUACACACAUAUACACACACACACUCACACACACAAGCCCAGGAGCUUCAGAAGCUGAAAGAGACAAGAAAGGGCCUUCUCCCAGAACCAACAGAGACAGAACAUAGCCCUGCUGAUGCCCUGGAUUUGGACGUCUAGCCCCCAGAACUGUGACAAAAUGAAUUUCUGUUCUUUAAAGCCACUGAUUUUGUGGUAUUUUAUGGCAACUUGUCUUAGUUGGGUUCUGUAGAGGAGCAAAACCAGUUGGACUGCUGUAUAUAAAUAUAGAAAGAUUUACUUCAAGGAAUGGCUCAUUCAAUCGUGGAGGUUGGGAAGCCCCAAAUCCACAGGUCAGGUAGGAGGCUAGAAACCUCUGCUGGGUUAUGGGAUUGCGGGGGCUGGCGAAUCCAAAACCUUUAGGUCAGAUGGCAGGCCAGAGACUUCUACAGGCUUAUGUCCCAGGAUCCAAAGGUUAGGACUGAGAAGAAUGCAGGGUUAAGAGAGAGAGAGCUCUGCCAGAAUGUCCAUAUAUAUUCUGUUGUAGGCCACACCCCCACAGAAACUCCCCUUUCAACUGAUGGUUCAUCAUGUCACAUCAGCAAGUCCAGUGACUGGCCAAACCACUGCAAAUCAUAGCCAAGUCAAGUUGACACAUGAAACUAACCAUCACACAGCCCUAGGAAACUGAGACAGACUUUUGUGCUGAAUCUUGGGGUGUUGCUCUAACAGAUACCUAAAAAUGUGGAAGUGGGUUUGGAAUUGGGUGAUGAGUAGAGGCUGGAAAUAUUUUGAGGUGCUUAACAGUAAAAACCUAGAUUGCCUUGAAGAGGCUGUUGGUAGAAUUAUGGACAUUAAGAGCAAUUCUGAUGAAGGCUCAGAAAGAAACGAGAGCUGUGGGGAAAACUUGUCAUUAGCAAAAUGUUUCUAUAAAUGUGAACGUUAAAUGUGCUUCUGGUGAAGUCUUAAAAGGAAAUGAUUAACAUGUCAUUGGACACUAGAGGAAAGGUGAUACUUGUUAUAAAGUGACAAAGAACUUGGCUAAACUAUGUUUGUUUUGUGAAAAAUAGAACUUUUAAGUGAUGAACAUGGUUAUUUAGCUGAAGAGGUUUCUAAGCAUCAUCUUCAAGAUGGAGCCUGGUUUCUCCUUGCUGCUUAUAGUAAGAUGCAGGCGGAAAGAGAUAAAUUAGGGAAUAAGCUGUGAAAAAAAGAACCAGAACUUGAAGAUUUGGAAAAUUCUGUUGUAAAAUUUUAGAAAGUAUGCCCUGGAGAUGACACCAAGAGUGUGACUGAACACUUAUUUGCUAAAGAAAUUAGGCUUGUGACCUUGUAAAAAUGGCAUGGGGGCGGUGUCUGACCUCCUAUAACUUCACAAGGAGGGGAAGGAGAAUCAAGAUCAAUAGCCCAAGGCUGCUUCCUAUGAGGUAGAGGUCAGACAUGCCUCCUCUCUCUGCCAUCCUUACCAAUUCUGACACAUCCUGUCCCUCCCACAGCAGUAUCUACUUCUCUGCUGGGUUUGAUAAUUCAUUGCAAGGGCCACACAGAACUCACAGACAAUAUUUACAAUUAUGUGGGUUAUUAGGGAAGUAAUAGGUUACGAUUCAGGCUCGGGAACACUCCAGAUACAGUUCUUCCAUCAGGACAGCCUCUUUACAGCUGUGCUCGCAGGCACGCCUCUUUGUGGUUCUAGGCCUCUGUUCUGCUCAGGCAAAUGUUACAAAGUUCUUUUAGCCCCUGCCAAUAAGUGCCCACCAGUAAGUAAGCCUUGGCCCAAAGGCACUCAGCUUUCUUAGUCAGUGGGCCAGGAAGCGCACUGCAUGGACUCCAGCCGGUCUCCUGCUGCUGUUUCUCUGCCACCACUUCUCCCCAUCUUCAGGGCUACAGCUCACUGUCUGUCUCCUGGGUCCAGGAGCUUCUCAGCACAGGGAUCCGGGGUCGAAAAUGAUGCGCUGUCCACUCCUGGCUGUUCUUCCUUGGUGGUGGCAGGAACCUCUCUCUGCUCUGGAAUUGGCUCUCUUUUAAGGCAAAAUUGACCAAUUCCCUUGGUGGGCCACAGUCCCACCUAAUCACUUGGGUGGGAGUUCCAAGACCAUGGUGAAAAAGGCCACACGAAAGUAAUUGAUUGCAUCACAGACCUAUAUAUACAAUCAUCCAUCUCAGCAGAAAUGUUCCCAGUUUAGACUAAAGGGGACAGAGAAGUGACCAAAGGAAAGAAACUGAUUCCUGGAAUUCUACUGGUAGGAAGUGGGAGGAUGGAGCUACUUGAUUGUAAAAAUAAGUUGUCCUUCGAGAAAUGGAAAGGACAAUUCCAGGAGCAGUUCAAAGAUCAGCAGGACUCUCUGCACAAGUACGGGGGUAGCGUCACUGUUCCAUUGGACCAAGAGAAUGAGGCUUCCCAGAGCCGAAGGGCUACCACCUAGAUGUGCCUGGGUGACAGAGGAUUAUUUUCAAGCCUUGGGAUCUAAUGGAAUUUGCCCCUGCUGAAUUUCAGACUUCCUCGGCACCCAUCGUCCCAUCUUUCUCUCCAAUUUCUCUGUUUUGGAAUGGUUGGAAUGCCUUCCCAACCAUUGUACUUUGGAAGCCAACCCACCCACUCCUGUCAAGUCGAUUCCAAAUCAUAACGACAGAGUAGGACAGAGUAGAACUGCCCCAUAGAGUUUCCAAGGAGCACCUGGUGGAUUUGAACUGCUGACUUCUUGGUUAGCAGCUGUAGCACUUAACCACUAUGCCACCAGGAUUUCCACUUUGGAAGCAGAUAACUUAUAUCUUGGGUUUCACAGGUUCACAGAUGGAGAAGAAUUUAGCCCCAGGAUGGACUAUACCCAGAGUCUCACCUAUACCUGAUUUAGAAGAUGAGAUUUGGGACUUAGAAUUGAUGCUGGAAUGGGUUAGGACUUUUGGGGACACUGGGAUGAGGUGAAUGUAUUCUGCACACGUGAAGGUCAUGAAUUUUGAGGGCCAGAGGGCAGAGUGUUAUGGAUUGAAUUGUGUCUCCCAAAAAGACAUGUUGAGGUCCUAACCCCUGCAUCUGUGAAUGUGAUCUUGUUUAGGGAUAUAUAGAGUUUCUUUUGUUAUCAGUUGGGUCAAACACAGUCAUACUGGAGUACGGUAGGUCUCAGUCAUCAUCCCUUCUGAGUGGUGUCUUAUAAAAAGGGAGGCAUACACAGGGGAAAGACUGCAUGUAAGGAGCCGUCUUCAAGCCAAGGAACAAGAAGAAAUGCCUGUGGAUGCAGAAGCUGAAAGAGAUGAGGAAGGUUUUUCCCCUAGAGCUGACAGUCCUGCUGAUGCCCUGAAUUUGGACUUCUAACCUCCAGAACUGUGAGAAAAUGAAUUUCUGUCCUUUAAAGCCAUCAACUUAUGUGCUAUUUUGUUAUGGCAGCACUAGGAGACUAAGACACCUUGGAAUUUCCUGAGCGAUUGGCGGGUCUUUAUUAUUUAUGGUGGGCCUCUUGGAUAGUUUAUGCCAACUUGAAUAGUUUAUGCCAACGAAGUGACUCUGGUAGUCUUAGGGUGGGGGCGGGCCACACCAGAAAGACCAGUCAUGUGAUUAGAGGGUUGGGACUAUAAGCCAUGUGAUAUCAGCCCAACCUGAGGAGUUGGGAGGUGGGAGGGCUGGAGAUGGAGUUCAAACAUGUAGACAGUGAUUCCGUCAAUCCUGCCUCCAUAAUGAAGCCUCAGUAAAAACUCAUGACACCAACGCUUGAGCGAGCUUCCUGGAUUGGCAGUACUCUUUGAAUAUUGUCAUGGUUUGAUGCCAGGAAGGUGAUGUGUGCCGGGGGGUGACAGAAGCUUUGCAUUUGGGACCUUCCCAGACCUCACCCUAAGCGUUGCUCCCUUUGGCUGGUUUUGAUUUGUCUCCUUUUGCUAAGUAUAGUGCUUUCCUGAGUUCUGAGUCUUCUAGCAGAUUAUCCAGUCUGAAAGUCAGGGAACCCCAGUGUUUGUAGCCAGCUGGUCAGAAGUCAGGGUGUGCUGGGGACCCUGAACUUGCAGUUGAUGUCAGAAGGGAGGCAGUCUUGGGGGACUGUGCCCUCGGACUGUGCAGUGUGGCAGCUCAUGGUACUUCAGUUCUGUUUACUCCCCACCACUUCCUUCCCUCGGCCUCCUCUUCGCCAUCCCAUCAUGCAGUGACUGACAGUCUCAAGCAGUGAGUAAUCUCUCCCCAUCCUCUCUUCCCUUUGC